CCUACGGGUGGCAGCAGUGGGGAAUAUUGCGCAAUGGGCGAAAGCCUGACGCAGCGACGCCGCGUGAGGGAUGAAGGUCUUCGGAUCGUAAACCUCUGUCAGCAGGGAAGAACGGUCACUGUGCUAAUCAGCAGUGAAUUGACGGUACCUGCAAAGGAAGCACCGGCUAACUCCGUGCCAGCAGCCGCGGUAAUCCGGAGGGUGCGAGCGUUAAUUGGAAUGACUGGGCGUAAAGCGGUCGUAGGCGGUAUGUCAAGUCAAGGGGUAAAUCCCCGCGCUAAACGUGGGAAGUGCCUUUGAAACUGGCAAACUGGAGUGUGUGAGAGGAUAGUGGAAUUCCUGGUGUAGGAGUGAAAUCCGUAGAUAUCUGGCGGAACAUCAGUGGCGAAGGCGACUAUCUGGCACAUAACUGACGCUGAGGAGCGAAAGCGUGGGUAGCAAACAGGAUUAGAUACCCUUGUAGUC
RNAcentral lists this ribosomal RNA (465 nucleotides) under uncultured bacterium. RNAcentral describes it as "partial 16S ribosomal RNA". It matches the Rfam family "Bacterial small subunit ribosomal RNA", at positions 338 to 795 of the family's 1533-position model. The record is from RNAcentral.